CCUACGGGGGGCAGCAGUGGGGAAUAUUGCGCAAUGGGCGAAAGCCUGACGCAGCGACGCCGCGUGAGGGAUGAAGGUCUUCGGAUCGUAAACCUCUGUCAGCAGGGAAGAACGGUCACUGUGCUAAUCAGCAGUGAAUUGACGGUACCUGCAAAGGAAGCACCGGCUAACUCCGGGCCAGCAGCCGCGGUAAUACGGAGGGUGCGAGCGUUAAUCGGAAUUACUGGGCGUAAAGCGCUCGUAGGUGGUAUGUCAAGUCAAGGGUGAAAGCCCCGCGCUCAACGGGGGAACUGCCUUUGAAACUGGCAAACUGGAGUGUGUGAGAGGAUAGUGGAAUUCCAGGUGUAGGAGUGAAAUCCGUAGAUAUCUGGAGGAACAUCAGUGGCGAAGGCGACUAUCUGGCACAUAACUGACGCUGAGGAGCGAAAGCGUGGGUAGCAAACAGGAUUAGAUACCCGAGUAGUC
This 465-nucleotide ribosomal RNA is filed under the name uncultured bacterium. RNAcentral describes it as "partial 16S ribosomal RNA". It matches the Rfam family "Bacterial small subunit ribosomal RNA", at positions 338 to 795 of the family's 1533-position model. The record is from RNAcentral.